RNAcentral lists this long non-coding RNA (3164 nucleotides) under Junco hyemalis (dark-eyed junco). RNAcentral describes it as "lncRNA (ENSJHYG00000012337.1)". Lineage: Eukaryota; Metazoa; Chordata; Aves; Passeriformes; Passerellidae. The record is from RNAcentral.
CUCUGCAGAUCCCGACUCCAGCCUGAGCCUGAGCCUGCCCCUGCCACUCGACGUGCCCUCCCUGCUCUCCCAUCCGUCCUUCCUCAUCACCACUGGAUCCAGCACUGGCUACAGCAUGAUCCCCUCUCCACCAUCCUACAACAAACUCCUGCUUCCCCACCACCCCAUCCCCGCCACACACAGGGAUGACCCAACACCCUCCACCUCUACCAGCUACCCCUCACCGCUGGCCACCUCCUACACCAGGAUUGCACCUCUUGGCCAAAGUGGGCCUGCGCCUGAUGCCUCCAGCAGCCUGACACCCUCCUCAUGUCACGGUUGCAGCGGCGUCGGCCUCGUGCUGUUCGGCGCAGGGCUUGUGAGCACAGCCUUGUUGCAAACCCUGCUGGAAGAAGCUGGCUGCUGCCUGCUCUACGUGGUGGAGGAUCAGCUGGAGGAGGUGGAACGAGCCUUUGGUGCCAAGGUCCCGGCUGGCACCAGGGUGCUGCGGCAGCAGGAGGCCACCAUCGCACUCAGUGAUCCACGAGUUUCUGGAGCCGUUAUUUGUUCCCCACCUGACAGAGCCCCUGAGAUGGUAAGAGAUGCCUUACGAGCAGGUGAGAGGAGCAGCUGCACAUUCAGCUUUUCCCUGUGCCCAUUGGUGUGCACUUGUGAGUGUGUUUGUGUUUCAGCAGCAGCCCUGGAGCUGUGCAGGCUCUCAAAUUGUGUAAUUAGUGACUGAGAUCCCUGCUGUUGUUAAUGGCCGGACACCAGUGGGGUUUGUGCUAUGCUGGUCCCAGUAUGACUGGGCAGUCCCACUCCUGGGACAGCUGAAACCACAGCAGACAGGCAGAAGGGGGUAAAUGCCAUCAAAACCAGAAAUGUAAUGAGCUGUUACUGCAAGAUCAAGGUGUUUUGUGCAGCUGUGUCUCCCCUGAGCCCUGUGUGUGUCCUGUUUUGCACAGGUAAAGGUGUGUUCUGUGAGGGGCUGCCCAGCUUGGACAGACAGACAGCAGAAGCCUGUUUUGAUGAGGCCGACAGGUGUGGGAGGCCACUCGUGUGUGGGUUCUACAAGCGCUUUGACCCAGCCCUGCAGUUCCUGUACAAGAAGGUUCGGGACAGCCGGGCCCUGGGCAGCAUCCACAGGAUAUCAACCAUCAGCAGCCUCUAUCCUGCAGCCUCUCUGAGCCUGCUGAAAGCCUCAGGUGGAAUUUUUUACAAUGCUGCCGUGCAUGACAUAGAUAUUAUCAGUUUGCUGUUGGGAGAGAGUGUGCCAGAUACAAUAUUUUCCCUGGGCCAUGCCUUCUGUGCAGACAUGGGCUGCCUGAGGGAUGUGGACACGGUCACCAUCAGCAUGAAGUUCCCCAGCGGAGCCAUUGUCACCCUGGACAUCAGCCAGCACUGCACCAGGAGCUGUGACCAGCGGCUGGAGGUUCAUGGGUCUCAAGGGACCUUAAGGGUGGACAACCAGAACCCCCUGGGCAUCACAGAGCAUGGGACUUCUGUGUCCAUCUGUCCCCAGACACAAGCUGAGCGCUACAGAGAUGCCUACAGGGAGCUCUUUAGGCACUUCCUGAGAACCCUGAAAGGCCAGGAGCCCCCCGUGGUCACCAAGGAGCAGUUCCUCUGGACCAUCCAGGUGGCUGCAGCAGCUGAGCAGUCCUGGAGGAGCAGAUCUGCUGUGGACUUGCACAGCAGUGCCACGGAUCCACCUGGGGUCAAGGCUGAGCUUGUGUGACAGCCACUCCCACCCAGUGGCUCAACAGAAGCCUGGAUGGUGGCUUUGGUGUUCCCACUGGGAAUGCCCAGCAGACAGAGGCACUGCUGAACGAGGAGCACUUGGUGCUGGGGCAGGGCAGGGUUCCUACCAUGUCAGCCAGAGCCUGCAAGAAAUUCUCUGUGGUUUCAUCCAGGUGGCCACAGAGCUCUGUUUUCCUGGGAGAAGAGGGAUGCUCCUCGGGCCAGGCAGGGUGGUGUAAUACCAGCAGUAGCUGGGAUGAGAGAGAAGUCUCCCCUUGGAGAAAGAACAGCCACUGCCUGCCUGGAGGAGUAGUCACAAGCAGGUGCCUUCCCAGCAGUGGCACAAGGGAGGUUAUUGAAUGCUCAAAAAACCACAGGAGCAUCUGUGAGUAUGUUUAGAGUGGAUAUAUGGAAGAGAUUCUUCCCUUUGAGGGUGGUGAGGGGCUGGAAUGAAUUCCCCAGAGCAGCUGUGGCUGCCCCAUCCCUGGAAGUGUUCAAGGCCAGCCUGGACAGGGCUUGGAGCACCCUGGGAUAGUGGAAGGUGUUGGGGUGGGAUGGGAUGAACUUUAAGGUUCCUUCCAAACAAACCAGUCUGGGUUCCAUGAUCCUGUUUGGGACACAGACAGCAGAAGGCAGAACCACAGGCCAGGCAGUGUCUGCCAGGAGCUUUGGACCUUUGCCAUGUGUGUGGAGCUUUCUGAAGAUGUGUGGCUCUGACUGUUCCUGUCUGGCUGUCACGUGCCAGUUUUCAAGAUCUUUUGAAACCUUUUUUUUUUGUAUUUUUAUUGAAUUACAACAACAUUCUAGACUUCUUCCAUUCCAAGGCAUUAGUUUAUAAACUUCUUGCAAGAAUCAAUUUCCAUUUCCUGUCUGUGGAAUAUAUACUCCUAAAACUAGAAUAAUGUGUUCUUUUUGGGAAAUUGUUUUUAACAGUGUCAUUUUUCAAGCUCAGAAAAACUGUGUCUUAAUGCUUGUUCUCCAUUCCAUUCACUAUUUUUUAGCCAUUUAUUAAAAAAAAGUUUUAUGUGUCCAGAAACUGUUUUUUGCCUCUCUGUACUUGCUGUAGCAGAUUAGUACACAAUGGUGGGUUUCUUUUUUGUUUCAAUAGCUUUAGGUCCUUUGAGGUCCUACAGUUGAAGGUUUACUCUGGGUUAAGAGGGCACUUUCUGUCCAGUUUUAAUUUCCAAAUCCAAGAAUUCCCACAUGUGCUUUUAUUGUGUUACAAAAACAAACCAACAAAAAAAUAACCCAAAACAAAACAAAGAGUAACCACAGCUAUAAAAAUAACACAUUUUCCAAAGAUAACAUUACAAAAAAUACAAUUCCUAUCACAGAGUGAUCCAUUAAUACUGCUGGGAACAGCCCCGGGAACGCUGGAAAUGUGAGUGGUUGUUGCAAAAGCUUUAAAGCAAUAAAGUGCUUUACUGAGCCGUUUCCUGGGGACA